GCCGGGCGCGGUGGCUCAAGCCUGUAAUCCCAGCACUUUGGGAGGCCGAGACGGGCGGAUCACGAGGUCAGGAGAUCGAGACCAUCCUGGCUAACACGGUGAACCCCCGUCUCUACAAAAAAAUACAAAAAAAAACUAGCCGGGCNNNNNNNNNNGCCCGGCUAGUUUUUUUUUGUAUUUUUUUGUAGAGACGGGGGUUCACCGUGUUAGCCAGGAUGGUCUCGAUCUCCUGACCUCGUGAUCCGCCCGUCUCGG
Chlorocebus sabaeus (green monkey) is the source of this 255-nucleotide non-coding RNA. It matches the Rfam family "Metazoan signal recognition particle RNA". From Rfam's summary of the family: The signal recognition particle (SRP) is a universally conserved ribonucleoprotein. Lineage: Eukaryota; Metazoa; Chordata; Mammalia; Primates; Cercopithecidae. The record is from Rfam.